UUGGUUAAGUUAGAAAGGGCGCACGGUGGAUGCCUUGGCACUAGGAGCCGAAGAAGGACGGGACUAACACCGAUAUGCUUUGGGGAGCUGUACGUAAGCGUUGAUCCAGAGAUUUCCGAAUGGGGGAACCCACUAUCUUUAGUCGGAUAGUAUCCUUACGUGAAUACAUAGCGUGAGGAAGGCAGACCCAGGGAACUGAAACAUCUAAGUACCUGGAGGAAGAGAAAGAAAAAUCGAUUUCCUGAGUAGCGGCGAGCGAAACGGAAAGAGCCCAAACCAAGAAGCUUGCUUCUUGGGGUUGUAGGACACUCUAUACGGAGUUACAAAAGAAAGUUAUAAAUGAAGCGGUCUGGAAAGGCCCGCCAAAGACGGUAACAGCCCGGUAGUUGAAAUGGCUUUCCCUCCAGAGUGGAUCCUGAGUACGGCGGAACACGUGAAAUUCCGUCGGAAUCCGGGAGGACCAUCUCCCAAGGCUAAAUACUCCCUAGUGACCGAUAGUGAACCAGUACCGUGAGGGAAAGGUGAAAAGCACCCCGGAAGGGGAGUGAAACAGUUCCUGAAACCGUGUGCCUACAAGUAGUUAGAGCCCGUUAAUGGGUGAUAGCGUGCCUUUUGUAGAAUGAACCGGCGAGUUACGAUUUGUUGCAAGGUUAAGCGGAAAAAGCGGAGCCGUAGCGAAAGCGAGUCUGAAUAGGGCGCAUAAGUAACAGGUCGUAGACCCGAAACCAGGUGAUCUACCCAUGUCCAGGAUGAAGGUAAGGUAAUACUUACUGGAGGUCCGAACCCACGCACGUUGAAAAGUGCGGGGAUGAGGUGUGGGUAGCGGAGAAAUUCCAAUCGAACUUGGAGAUAGCUGGUUCUCUCCGAAAUAGCUUUAGGGCUAGCCUCGAGGUAAAGAGUCAUGGAGGUAGAGCACUGUUUGGACUAGGGGCCCUUCUCGGGUUACCGAAUUCAGAUAAACUCCGAAUGCCAUGUACUUAUACUCGGGAGUCAGACUGCGAGUGAUAAGAUCCGUAGUCGAAAGGGAAACAGCCCAGACCACCAGUUAAGGUCCCCAAAUAUAUGUUAAGUGGAAAAGGAUGUGGGGUUGCUUAGACAACCAGGAUGUUGGCUUAGAAGCAGCCACCAUUGAAAGAGUGCGUAAUAGCUCACUGGUCGAGUGACC
RNAcentral lists this ribosomal RNA (1165 nucleotides) under Listeria monocytogenes. Its description in RNAcentral is "partial 23S ribosomal RNA". It matches the Rfam family "Bacterial large subunit ribosomal RNA", at positions 1 to 1158 of the family's 2925-position model. The record is from RNAcentral. Lineage: Bacteria; Bacillati; Bacillota; Bacilli; Caryophanales; Listeriaceae.